This 167-nucleotide microRNA precursor is filed under the name Pelobates cultripes (western spadefoot toad). Lineage: Eukaryota; Metazoa; Chordata; Amphibia; Anura; Pelobatidae. The record is from RNAcentral.
GCAGACACAUUCCAGCCAAUCAGCAGCAGACCCUCCUUCCCAGACCCUCCCACCUCCUGGACAGCAUCCAUUUUACAUUCAUUGUGAAGCUGCAUUCUUAGUGAGCUGUCCAGGAGGUGGGAGGGUCUGGGAGGGAGGGUCUGCUGUUGAUUGGCUCAAAUGUGUCU